RNAcentral lists this ribosomal RNA (497 nucleotides) under uncultured bacterium. RNAcentral's name for it is "partial 16S ribosomal RNA". It matches the Rfam family "Bacterial small subunit ribosomal RNA", at positions 30 to 523 of the family's 1533-position model. The record is from RNAcentral.
ACUGAACGCUGGCGGCAUGCCUUACACAUGCAAGUCGAACGGUAACGCGGGGCAACCUGGCGACGAGUGGCGAACGGGUGAGUAAUGUAUCGGAACGUGCCCAGUUGUGGGGGAUAACUGCUCGAAAGAGCAGCUAAUACCGCAUACGACCUGAGGGUGAAAGCGGGGGAUCGCAAGACCUCGCGCAAUUGGAGCGGCCGAUAUCAGAUUAGGUAGUUGGUGGGGUAAAGGCUCACCAAGCCGACGAUCUGUAGCUGGUCUGAGAGGACGACCAGCCACACUGGGACUGAGACACGGCCCAGACUCCUACGGGAGGCAGCAGUGGGGAAUUUUGGACAAUGGACGCAAGUCUGAUCCAGCCAUGCCGCGUGCGGGAAGAAGGCCUUCGGGUUGUAAACCGCUUUUGUCAGGGAAGAAAAGGCUCCUUCUAAUAUAGGGGCUCAUGACGGUACCUGAAGAAUAAGCACCGGCUAACUACGUGCCAGCCGCCGCGGUAA